RNAcentral lists this long non-coding RNA (238 nucleotides) under Capsicum annuum. RNAcentral describes it as "long non-coding RNA (CANN_LNC016340)". The record is from RNAcentral. Lineage: Eukaryota; Viridiplantae; Streptophyta; Magnoliopsida; Solanales; Solanaceae.
GGCAUAAGAAAUCUCUAAAUGAAUUUGAGUUGAAAGGUCCUUUAAUAAUAAGUUUUCGUUUAGGUUCAAUCAAGGAUCAAACUUAAAUAAGUAUUUCUCUUAGAAUACUUAGGGUUACAUAACCCAUUACCUAUCAAAUUAAAGAUUUUUAAAUCUUCUUUUCAACGCCACCAACAUCUCAUAAAUUCGAGUCCUAAGUAAAAAGUUACGUAUGUUUUUCUAUGAACAGUCAGAACAG